This 628-nucleotide ribosomal RNA is filed under the name uncultured Pseudomonadota bacterium. RNAcentral describes it as "bacterial SSU rRNA". It matches the Rfam family "Bacterial small subunit ribosomal RNA", at positions 28 to 652 of the family's 1533-position model. The record is from RNAcentral. Lineage: Bacteria; Pseudomonadati; Pseudomonadota.
AUUGAACGCUGGCGGCAUGCUUUACACAUGCAAGUCGAGCGGCAGCGCGGGGCAACCUGGCGGCGAGCGGCGAACGGGUGAGUAAUGCAUCGGAACAUGUCCAUAUCGUGGGGGAUAGCCCGGCGAAAGCCGGAUUAAUACCGCAUACGCCCGAGAGGGGAAAGCAGGGGACCGCAAGGCCUUGCGCGAUUGGGUUGGCCGAUGUCCGAUUAGCUUGUUGGUGAGGUAAAGGCUUACCAAGGCGAUGAUCGGUAGCUGGUCUGAGAGGAUGAUCAGCCACACUGGGACUGAGACACGGCCCAGACUCCUACGGGAGGCAGCAGUGGGGAAUUUUGGACAAUGGGGGCAACCCUGAUCCAGCCAUUCCGCGUGAGUGAAGAAGGCCUUCGGGUUGUAAAGCUCUUUUGUCCGGAGCGAAACGGUCGUGGUGAAUAUCCGCGACUACUGACGGUACCGGAAGAAUAAGCACCGGCUAACUACGUGCCAGCAGCCGCGGUAAUACGUAGGGUGCGAGCGUUAAUCGGAAUUACUGGGCGUAAAGCGUGCGCAGGCGGUUUUGUAAGCCAGAUGUGAAAUCCCCGGGCUUAACCUGGGAAUGGCAUUUGGGACUGCAAGGCUGGAGUAUGGC